This is a long non-coding RNA of Gadus morhua (Atlantic cod), 4760 nucleotides long. The record is from Ensembl. NCBI's taxonomy places the organism in Eukaryota, Metazoa, Chordata, Actinopteri, Gadiformes, Gadidae.
UGGGGACGUGUGUGUGGGGGGGGGGGGGGGGGGAAUCCUCAAAACAAAAGUAUUUUCUUCAAAUAUAAUUAUUUACAAUUUCAAACACAAAUUCUAUUAACUUCUGGACAGAGCGCUUGGACCAGGCGGGGCGGACCGGAACCUCUAAUGGUUCCACCGGAGGUCCAGAGUGGGACCAGGGGAGGCCAGAGUGGGACCAGGGGAGGCCAGAGUGGUACGAGUCCCGCUGUGUCUGGUGGGGGCCCUGGUGGGGGCCCCUGGUGGGGGCCCUGGUCGGGGGCAGGCAGGGUGAGGGGCUGGCUGGUGGGGGCCCCUGGCUUCCCCCUUGGCCCAGGGGCGCGAGGCAGGUGUGGCUCCUGCUGUCAGAGAGCAGGCUGCCCCCCCCGCCCCCCGGACCUGGCGUGACUUGGCUCUGUCCCUCACCCCUACCUCCCCCCCUAUCUCCCCCCUACCUCCCUCACUCCCCUCUUACAUCCCAUAUUUAUCUCCGUCUGUCUCUCAAACUUUGUCCUCCUCUGCCUCUCUCUCUCUCUGUGUCUCUGCCAGCCAGAUGGUGGCAUGGUAACGGUGCUCCUCCAUCCCAUAAUGAUCUGUGCCAUCCAGAUGGAGGCAGCAGCCUCAGCGCUCUGCUGCUGCACCGCGGGGCCCGGAGCUCAGCGCCCCCUGGUGGCCCCCCGGCUCCCUGCAGCAGGGCCAUGGCGUCAGUCAAACCCCAGAACCUCUGCCCCCAUCAGAACCAGAGGAGGGCUGCCCCCCCCCCCCCCCAGACGCCCAGCCGGGGGGGCCUCCAGGCUGUCACUAUGGUAGAGGGGCCCGUUGACAGGAGGUGAAGGCCGGUCCCCACCUGAUGUGGCGCCUCCUGGAGGAGCAGAGGGGAGGCUACAGGCACCACGGCUCUGGCGGGAUGUCCUCCAACUAGUCCACCUCCUCCCUCUUCCAACUCUUCCUCCUCCUCCGGAUGUCAUCCACUGAGACAUCAUGAUGUCAUCCACUGAGACAUCAUGUCAUCCACUGAGACAUCAUGACGGCAUCCACCGAGACAUCAUGACGUCAUCCACCGAGGUUAAAUGUGAAAUGGAGGUGAAUUCCCUGAAAGGCUGUAAAUGUAGUUGUGAUGUGCUGUGGUUCUUGUUUGUUCUAAUAGCCCCGGAGGAGUGGAGGAGGAGGAGGAGCACGGGGGUGAGAGAGGACACGAGGAGCAGCCAGGAGGAGGUGUGGAGCCACAGCUGGUCUAGUGCUCCUCCAGGCUGGAUCUCCUGCCAACCCGCUCCAGCGUCUCUCCUCCUCCUCCUCCUCCUGCUUACAGAAUAAUACAACCUGCCUCUGAGUGCUCUCUGACAACAUGGAGGCUGGUGAGCUAGAUUGUAAAACAGUAAUAUGUUUAAAGUGAUUAUUCUAUAUAUUCUGACACUAGUUUAUCUAUAAUUCCCGGAAAAAUUGAUAAGAGGAGAACACGCUGUCCUUACAGAGAGCUCCGGCAGCUGGUGUGUGUGUGUGUGUGUGUGUGUGUGUGUGUGUGUGUGUGUGUGUGUGUGUGUGUGUGUGUGUGUGUGUGACCAGAUGGGUGUAGAAGUCAGUCCUUACGGUCCCAAGUUUGUCGUGACGGAUGUCCGAUCGACCGCUGUGCCGUUGCAUGCUGGGAGCUGAUAUAAAAGAGGUCUUCCUCACCUCUGGACGACUAAGUUCAGUGACUAUCGCACCUCUGUUUAUACGCCGGGAGAACCUGCUGAUGCCCGUAGGGUCGAGUCCCCCUGGGUUCAACCCUACGGCCAUGACCCCACUCAGGAGGAUAGUUUGGUCUGUAGGUUCUAAUUUCUCCCUGCUGACGUCGUCCUUCUAGUCUUUACGAUCUGCGUCUUUCAUCGCUCUGCGUCUUCAUCGCUUGUCGUCUUCAUCGCUCCGUCGCCACCGCCCGGAGGUUUGAGAUGAACCACGAGUGCCGUCGACCCUUCCUCUCCUACACGCUUAAACACGGCCAUCACGCCUUCCCAGAAUGCACCCUGAGGAGGACUUUACCAUUACCUUGAGAUCAAGAAGAGGGGCAGACCAGUAUAUUCAAACCCUGAAUAUACGACCCGUAAGUAUACGGCCAUGUUGAACACGACUGAAUACGACCUGAGAUGGACACUAGGUUAGCUCCUUGACUUACCCAGAGCUGACCAUCUCUUCCACAACUCAACCGCCUCAAACAGAAUACCGAAACAGAACUAUAUUCAACUUAAUACCAAAACGUAACCAUCUCUAACUCGGCCCCUAAAACGAAACGUUGGCCUCAAUUAUUCUGUUUUGACGCCGGCAAAUUAAAUUCAAGCGAACGUUAUUAAAUAAUAAGAGGCUAUCUUGAGAAUAUCUCUCAUCGUCGUCCAACUGUUGAGAAUAAAAAUGUGUUAAGACCUUUCAUUCCCGAUGUUUAUUUCGGACCCCAGCAGAGCUGGGACAGAGUGGACGUAGAGAGAUCAGAGCCGGAGGAGAUCCUCCUCCGAGCGUUCCACGGGGGCCUGAGAGGGGCCGGUUUGGAUCCUGAGGUGGAAUGUAACCUUCACCCUAACCCACGACCCCUCCUACGACAGAACACUGGGUUCUUCCACAGCGGAACACAGGAAGUUCCUCACACUAUCUACUUCCUGUUGGCGUGGCACCCGGUGACGAGAGCCAGGAGCAAAUGGAGGAGGAGGAGGAUGUACUGGGUCCCCCAUCAGAAGAGCAAGAGCUGUUCGGUACAACCACAGUGCAAACCAGUAUUAAGAGACUGCUUGAAUUGGGCAGCUCCAAGUUUCCACCAGUACUCCCUGGUUGUACUGGGAAACUCCCAAUACAACCGGUAGAAUGUGGCUGUACUAUGUAGCUCCCAGUUUCUAUUACUAGAAGACUGGGGUGUACUGGGAAGCUUCCAGUAGAAACAUUAGAAGACUGUGGUUGCGCUGGGCAGCUCCCAGUCUCCACCAUUAUAUGGCUGUUAGCAGGCGGGCUGCUAGCGGGUUGCUAGCGGGCUGCUGGCGGGUUGCUGGCGGGUUGCUGGCGGGUUGCUGGCGGGCUGCUGGCGGGCUGCUGGCGGGCUGCUGGCGGGUUGCUAGCGGGUUGCUGGCGGCUGCAGAGAUAAGACCCCGGAAGACCGCACCCAUGAGGGUCUCCUGAGAUUGGGACAACAAUACCUCCUUCCUCUUCCUCCCUCUGACAGCCCCCCCCCCUCUCUCCAGGACCCGAACCCAUUGAACCUGAGGCUAAGGAGGUCAGAGGUCAUCGCGUCAGGGUCAGUACCUGGCUUCACCGCAUCGCUGUGUGUGUGUGUGUGUGUGUGUGUGUGUGUGUGUGUGUGUGUGUGUGUGUGUGUGUGUGUGUGUGUGUGUGUGUGUGUGUGUGUGUGUGUGUUCCAAGGCGAUGUUGGGUGCCUCUGGAAGCGGACAGACAUGUAACCAGUGGUGCUGCUGACGGACAGCCGUGUGACCCCACUAACGACCGGUGCUUAUGAAUAUUAACGAGCUUCAUUAGGGGUGUUUUGUGUACGUUUGAGGAGGCGUCCCAGAUGAAGGUUAAUUUAUGCGCAGACCCGAUCCGCUGUUUCCUCUCCGUCUGCCCGGCGCCGCUGACCUCUGACCUCUGGAGGGAUGGGGGGGGGGUGGUGCCUCUCGAUGUAAACGUAGAACAUAGGUAGAAGGAGGAGCUGCUCUCUGAUUGGUCCUUCGAACCCGUUUCAGUAGAACCUCGGUCAGGUUUAAUAUUUCAAGGCCAUAAGUGUUCGCAUCAAAGUUAAAAGUGAAGCGAAUGUGGUCGAACUUUCUUUCUUUCUCUGCGAGGUUCUGCGACAAACUUAUUUAGAAAUAAUUGUUUAGAAAAAUAUUCUAGAAUGUUGUGUGUAGGCUGUCUGUCUGUUAGUCUGUCUGAUAGUCUGUCCCUGUCUCUAAAGUCAAAGUCAAAGUGUGUUUAUUGUUGCAUGUACCAAAUUGCUUCAGCACAGCAAAAUUCUUAUGACUUGGCAAGCAUCAUUCAUCUACGCAGUAGACGUCAGUCUGUGUUUGUUUGUCUGUCUGUGUCUCUGUCUCUGAGUGUCUGAAUGUUAGGAAUGUGUCAAGGAGAAUAAAUGAGUAGUUAUACCAUUUUUAAUCUCCUCGUAGGAGGAGGAGGGGGAGGAGGAGGGGGAGGAGAUGUGAUCUUGUGGUGGAAGAUAAUGAGUAAAUGACAGGUUUGGUUUUAAAGUUUUCAAAACAGUAAUCACUCCAGCUGUCUGGUCUAGGUGUGUGUGUGUGUGUGUGUGUGUGUGUGCGCGCGCACAUUUCCUUGGCCAUGCCAAUCUACAUUAUGGAACAAACGGACACAUUUCAUGUAAGUUAGUAACUGAUGGUGACAUUGAAACAAAGUAAGGUAGAAGAUAUAAAUGGAACGAAAAGAGUAAACGUUGAAGUGAACUCCAACUCAUCUCCAGAGGACCCGUAAUGGUUCUGUACCCGCCACCGCUAGGGCUCCGAUCACAGCUGCUUGAACAACACGAGGAGGGCGGGGCUACAGCUGGGGAGCAACUCGCUCGGCCAAUAGGCGCGUCACUCCAGACAGCUGUCCUGUAUAUAAGCACCUGUCCGUCAGACCGGCCCGCCUCGAGCCCGGAGAGGAGACGGGGUAGUAAUCAUAUAACGGCAGAAUAGAUCAAACUUUUGCAAUAUUAACUUUAUUCGAUCACAACCUUAUUUUAUCCAGGGCUUCGUUUUAUUUUAUCACAUUUUGUUCGCUAUCUUAUUUGAUUAAAACCUUGUUUGAUCGUAGCUUUA